CAAGUCGAACGGUAACGCGAGGAGCUUGCUCCUUGGCGACGAGUGGCGGACGCCAUAGUAAUACUUAGGAAUCUGCCCAGGAGAGGGGGACAACAUCUUGAAACGGAUGCUAAUACCGCAUACGCCCUACGGGGGAGAGCGGGGGGUCUUCGGACCUCGCGCUAUUGGAGGAGCCGAACUCGGAUUAGCUUGUUGGUGAGGUAAAGGCUCACCAAGGCGACGAUCCGUAGCUGGGCUGAGAGGACGAUCAGCCACACUGGGACUGAGACACGGCCCACACUCCUACGGGAGGCAGCAGUAGGGAAUAUUGGACAAUGGGCGCAAGCCUGAUCCAGCAAUGCCGCGUGUGUGAAGAAGGCCUGCGGGUUGUAAAGCACUUUCAGUAGAGAAGAGAGGCUUCUGGUUAAUAACCGGGAGUCUUGACGUAACCUACAGAAGAAGCACCGGCUAACUCCGUGCCAGCAGCCGCGGUGAGACGGAGGGUGCGAGCGUUAAUCGGAAUUACUGGGCGUAUAGCGCGCGUAGGCGGCUUUGUAAGUCGGAUGUGAAAUCCCCGGGCUUAACCUGGGAGCUGCAUUCGAUACUGCAGAAAUAGAGUAUGGAAGAGGGAAGUGGAAUUUCCGGUGUAGCGUUGAAAUGCGUAGAUAUCGAGAAGGAACACCAGUGGCGAAGGCGACUUCCUGGGCCAAUACUGA
Molecule: ribosomal RNA, 695 nt
Filed under: uncultured marine bacterium
Lineage: Bacteria
Description: bacterial SSU rRNA
Rfam family: Bacterial small subunit ribosomal RNA
Source: RNAcentral